This 468-nucleotide ribosomal RNA is filed under the name uncultured bacterium. RNAcentral describes it as "partial 16S ribosomal RNA". It matches the Rfam family "Bacterial small subunit ribosomal RNA", at positions 28 to 507 of the family's 1533-position model. The record is from RNAcentral.
GACGAACGCUGGCGGCGUGCUUAACACAUGCAAGUCGAACGGAAAGGCUCUGCUUUUGUGGGGUGCUCGAGUGGCGAAUGGGUGUGUAACACGGGAGUAACCUGACCUUGUCUUUGGGAUAACUUCAGGAAACUGGGGCUAAUACCGGAUAGGAGCUCCUGCUGCAUGGUGGGGGUUGGAAAGUUUCGGCGGUUGGGGAUGGACUCGCGGCGUAUCAGCUUGUUGGUGGGGUAGUGGCUUACCAAGGCUUUGACGGGUAGCCGGCCUGAGAGGGUGACCGGCCACAUUGGGACUGAGAUACGGCCCAGACUCCUACGGGAGGCAGCAGUGGGGAAGAUUGCACAAUGGGCGGAAGCCUGGUGCAACAACGCCGCGUGGGGGAUGACGGCCUUCGGGUUGUAAUCCGCUUCCGCCUGUGACGAAGCGUGAGUGACGGUAAUGGGUAAAGAAGCACCGGCUAACUACGUG